RNAcentral lists this ribosomal RNA (253 nucleotides) under uncultured bacterium. RNAcentral's name for it is "partial 16S ribosomal RNA". It matches the Rfam family "Bacterial small subunit ribosomal RNA", at positions 524 to 776 of the family's 1533-position model. The record is from RNAcentral.
UACGUAGGGGGCAAGCGUUGUCCGGAAUUAUUGGGCGUAAAGAGCGUGUAGGCGGCCAGAUAAGUCCGCUGUGAAAUCUCGAGGCUCAACUUCGAGCUGUCGGUGGAAACUAUCUGGCUAGAGUCCGGAAGAGGAGAAUGGAAUUCCUGGUGUAGCGGUGAAAUGCGCAGAUAUCAGGAAGAACACCCGUGGCGAAGGCGGUUCUCUGGGACGGUACUGACGCUGAGACGCGAAAGCGUGGGGAGCUAACAGG